GGAAGGAUGGGUGAGUCUGGCUAAAACCGCUUGAUUCGAAAUCAAGUAGACAGUCUUACUGUCUCGGGGGUUCAAAUCCCUCUCCUUCCGCCA
RNAcentral lists this transfer RNA (93 nucleotides) under Halanaerobium praevalens DSM 2228. Its description in RNAcentral is "tRNA-Ser (CGA) (tRNA-Ser-CGA-1-1)". It matches the Rfam family "tRNA". From Rfam's summary of the family: Transfer RNA (tRNA) molecules are approximately 80 nucleotides in length. Their secondary structure includes four short double-helical elements and three loops (D, anti-codon, and T loops). The record is from RNAcentral. Lineage: Bacteria; Bacillati; Bacillota; Clostridia; Halanaerobiales; Halanaerobiaceae.